Alosa sapidissima (American shad) is the source of this 655-nucleotide long non-coding RNA. RefSeq lists it as uncharacterized. NCBI's taxonomy places the organism in Eukaryota, Metazoa, Chordata, Actinopteri, Clupeiformes, Clupeidae. The record is from RefSeq and is a predicted model, not a curated record. The transcript is spliced from 3 exons.
UCAUCAUAUCCACCUCCAUCCUCUUCCGGAUUUUAUGAAUAGUUCAGGACCACCCUAGGUGUAACACACACGGGCUGAGGGUGGUAGGCCUUUAAGUACUACGUGGGUCAUGUCCAACGAAUAGCUAAGGUGGGUAGAAUAGCUAAGGUGGAUAGCCUACUGAGCAGUCCUGCUAAUAUGUGAAUAGCUAAGGUGGGUAGAAAAGCUAAUGUGUGAAUAGCUAAGGUGGGUAGAAUAGCUAAGGUGGAUAGCCUGCUGUUAUGAGCAGCCCUGCUAAUGUGUGAAUAGCUAAGGUGGGUAGAAUAGCGGAGAAUUUCAGUGACCUGUCCCCGGCUGGAGCUGUCCCUGGAAAAGUCCCCGGUUUUCACUGUGACUGACAGACCCGAAAUUGUAAUAAAAGAAAGAAAGAAAACACUGAACAAACGUACAGUUGCGCACCCUUCGCGCACAGUCUCAAGCUAGUCAAAGACAUAGGUCAAAGCAAGCGCUCAGACCUCAGAGAUGUUCUAGAAUGCCCAUAUUUCUGGUCUGCCGGUUAGUGGAGUAGCAGCGCGGUAGAAUCUUUGAAAUGAAACCACUUGUGCAGGGGAUUUAUUAAACUAACGUCAUCACGAACGUGCCAGCUGCUCAAAUCCAGGUGAAACUAAAAUUGCGG